Molecule: unclassified non-coding RNA, 428 nt
Filed under: uncultured fungus
Lineage: Eukaryota; Fungi
Description: sequence contains ITS1
Rfam family: 5.8S ribosomal RNA (bases 1-106)
Source: RNAcentral
GAAAUGCGAUAUGUAAUGCGAAUUGCAGAAUUCAGUGAAUCAUCAAAUCUUUGAACGCAAAUGGCGCUCUCGGGAUAGUCCCGGGAGCACACCUCUCUGAGUAUCGGUUCAAACUCAACUCUUCAGCGUGCUUGCAUGCAAAUGAAGGAAAAUGAGAGUCUCAGCAAUCUAAGCUAAGUCUCUUUAAAUAUGUUGAGCUUUAGAUCUCCUAGUACCUCAACUUCGGUUGAUAGCCUCUCAGGCUCUUUCUCUACUAGUGACGUGGAUAAUAUCACCUUCGCGGUGUCUUGAAACGUCUCAUCUAGAAGAGUCAGACCCGUCUGUGAGUGUGAACGACUAGUGCGAUUUAUAGCGUUAGAAUUGAACUGUCUCUUUCGAGACUCCUCGAAUUAGAUCUCAGAUGAAGUGAGACAACCCCCUGAAUUUAA